Molecule: ribosomal RNA, 443 nt
Filed under: uncultured bacterium
Lineage: Bacteria
Description: partial 16S ribosomal RNA
Rfam family: Bacterial small subunit ribosomal RNA
Source: RNAcentral
CCUACGGGAGACAGCAGUGGGGAAUCUUGGGCAAUGGAGGAAACUCUGACCCAGCAACGCCGCGUGAAUGAUGAAGGUCCUCGGAUUGUAAAGUUCUUUUCUAAGGGAAGUAGAAAGUGACGGUACCUUAGGAAUAAGCCUCGGCUAAAUACGUGCAAGCAGCCGCGGUAAUACGUAGGAGGCGGGCGUUAUCCGGAAUGACUGGGGGUAAAGGGUGCGUAGGUGGUUUGGCAAGUUAGUAGCGUAAUUCAAAGGCUCAACCUUGGAACUACUACUAAUACUGUUGGGCUUGAGUGCAGGAGGGGCAAGCGGAAUUCCUAGUGUAGCGGUGAAAUGAGUAGAUAUUAGGAAGAACACCAGUGGCGAAGGCAGGUUACUAGACUGUAACUGACACUGAGGCACGAAAGCGUGGGGAGCAAACAGGAUUAGAUACCCCAGUAGUC